This 230-nucleotide non-coding RNA is filed under the name Acetivibrio straminisolvens. RNAcentral describes it as "Clostridium straminisolvens T-box sequence". It matches the Rfam family "T-box leader". From Rfam's summary of the family: Uncharged tRNA acts as the effector for transcription antitermination of genes in the T-box leader family. T-boxes are found upstream of many aminoacyl-tRNA synthetase genes and some amino acid biosynthetic genes usually in Gram-positive bacteria. Lineage: Bacteria; Bacillati; Bacillota; Clostridia; Acetivibrionales; Acetivibrionaceae. The record is from RNAcentral.
GUAAUGGCUAUGAAGGGGAAAAGUAGCCAAUACUUCCUUAAGGGAGAGAGUGUCGUGACUGAAAGCACUCUUAGGAAAAAGGUUGGUGAAAGGACACCUUGGAGCUGGCAGAUUGAAAGUUUGCAUGCGAUUAGGUCUGUCCGCAGAUUCUUGCGUUAAAGAAUUAAUAAGUGGGCAAUUUUACUGCCUAUUAGGGUGGCACCGCGGGAAAACAGCCUCUCGUCCCUGAC